CGACCGGCGCACGGGUGCGUAACGCGUAUGCAACCUACCCAUAACAGGGGGAUAACACUGAGAAAUUGGUACUAAUACCCCAUAACAUCAGGACCGGCAUCGGUUCUGGUUGAAAACUCCGGUGGUUAUGGAUGGGCAUGCGUUGUAUUAGCUGGUUGGUGAGGUAACGGCUCACCAAGGCGACGAUACAUAGGGGGACUGAGAGGUUAACCCCCCACACUGGUACUGAGACACGGACCAG
This 241-nucleotide ribosomal RNA is filed under the name uncultured bacterium. RNAcentral describes it as "partial 16S ribosomal RNA". It matches the Rfam family "Bacterial small subunit ribosomal RNA", at positions 92 to 334 of the family's 1533-position model. The record is from RNAcentral.